UUCACCUGGUGAAGGGAAUCACUGUCAAUGGCUUGAAACCACAACACAGAAUCAUCAAGAAACUAAGCUGACAUUUUAGGAUAUAUGCUUUUUCAGUUGCAUUAAAAGACUCCAAUAUACACCACCGUUCAAAAGUUUGGGGUCACUUAGAACGGUCCUUAUUUAAAAAAAAAAAAAAAAAAAGCAUUUUUUCAAUGAAUAUAACGUUAAAUCAAUCACAAAUACAGUCUAGACAUUAUUAAUGUGGUAAAUGACUAUUCUAGCUGGAAACGGCUAAUUUUUAAUGGAAUACCUACAAAGGGGUACAGAGGAACAUUUUUAGCAACCAUCGCUUCUGUGUUGUAAUGGUACAUUGUGUUAGCUAAUGGUGUUGGAAGGCUAAUUGAUGAUUAGGAAACCCUUGUGAAAUUAUGUUAGCAUGUGAAUAAAAGUGCGAGUUUUCAUGGAAAACAUGAAAUUGUCUGGGUGACCCCAAACUUUUGAAUGGUAGUAUGUUAAAUAUGAAGCUAUAUUCAAGACUAAGGGCAGUGAUGUGGGUUUUCAUGAAAACACCACAUACAAUAACAUGCAGUUAGCAAUACUUUAACUAUUUCAUUAGUAAGCUUUAACAAACAAGGUAUAAUAUGGUAAUUAGUGAGCUUUAAUGAGCUGUUCUUUCUACUAAUCUGAGUCAACAGGCUCUGGCUGAAGCUUUAUUUUUAGAGGGCAGACAGGAAGGUGGUAUUCUCAUGUAACUCCUUGCAAGAAAGUGAAUAAGUAAAUAACUAAGCAAGGUAAAUAACUUUGCAUAUUACCUCCAGCAACCAGCAGAGCUGCUGCUGAAGAAGAAUUCUUUCACAGUAUUCAUUUAUUUUACAUGGCUUGUAUUGACUUUAAUUGAAGGCUGUCAGGCCUGCCUCUGCAGGUUCUGGGUAGUGCUCCUCCCUCCCUUUGUUGUGUUUCCUUUUUAGGAAUGUGUGGCACUGAGACGGCGGCGGCAGGUGUAGGAAAUCCUCAUCAGUAAUCAGCUGAAUUGGGAGCAGACACUGCAGAGCCAAUCAGCUUCAACUUCUCCACCAUAUAACCAGACUCUGCUCUUCAUUCUUUGCUGGAUCGUUGAUGCUACUACCUGGACUGCCUUUUCCUCGUGUGAUCACCUGCCUCUGGGAUUUCUGGAUUCACCUGCUCACCAGCCAGCCGGUUAUCUACUGACCCACCUCCAAGCCACCGCUUCCACCUUUGGAGCCUCAGCCCCCAUUCUUCCUAGUUGCUGGCUGUGCACCAGUCCGAGCUGAUCGGUCAGACAAUUAGUUUUUAGUUCUAGUGGUUUGCCUUACGUUUUUGGAGCUCUUAGCUUUCCUUAGUUAUUCCAAUUAUAGGUUUUGCAUUUGAGAUCAGAUUUGCUUGUAUAUAGUGUUUACUUAAGAAUUUCUGGUCAAGUUAGUCAUAGUCCUUGUUGUCACUUUGCUUAUAGACAAGUUCCUUAGUUUGCAGUUUAUUCUGAUUCGUAUGAAGUACGCCAUGAGCCUUUUUAGCUCUCUUGUUUGAGUAUGUCCUUAGCUCUUGCAGAUUCUAAUAUUGACAAUUUUAGUUAAGAGUAUCUGAGUUCUCCUGCCCAGGUUAUACCUGCCAUGGGUCAGCUUCAGUCAGUUGAAGUUUUCAUUUAGUCCUCCUGCCAUUAGAGGUGCAGUAGGUCUUUGGUUUUUGUUCCUUAAGUAGUUCCGUUUACUCUUCGGGGUUUUUUUUUUGUGUACUGAAGGGAUUUGUAGUUUCUGUGCACUAUUGUAUAGUGAAUAAACUCUUGUUGCUGCAUUUUGCUUGCCUUUCUCUCUCAUUUCCUGCGCCUGAGCUACUGAGUGAAACCUUAACAAAGGCUACACCUGUAUCAGAGUAAAUCAUGCUGUUUGUUCAUUUAAAUCUGCCUGAUUGUUGGGGUAUUUUGUACAAAAAUAAAACAUUAUCAAUGCUCU
Molecule: long non-coding RNA, 1949 nt
Organism: Amphiprion ocellaris (clown anemonefish)
Lineage: Eukaryota; Metazoa; Chordata; Actinopteri; Pomacentridae
Exons: 2
Source: RefSeq, a predicted model, not a curated record